RNAcentral lists this ribosomal RNA (423 nucleotides) under uncultured bacterium. Its description in RNAcentral is "bacterial SSU rRNA". It matches the Rfam family "Bacterial small subunit ribosomal RNA", at positions 355 to 775 of the family's 1533-position model. The record is from RNAcentral.
UAAGGAAUAUUGGUCAAUGGGGGCAACCCUGAACCAGCCAUGCCGCGUGCAGGAAGACGGCCCUACGGGUUGUAAACUGCUUUUAUACGGGAAUAAUUCCCUGCUCGUGAGCAGGGUUGAAUGUACUGUAAGAAUAAGGAUCGGCUAACUCCGUGCCAGCAGCCGCGGUAAUACGGAGGAUCCAAGCGUUAUCCGGAUUUAUUGGGUUUAAAGGGUGCGUAGGCGGCUUUUUAAGUCAGGGGUGAAAGACGGUGGCUCAACCAUCGCAGUGCCUUUGAUACUGAAGAGCUAGAUUACACUAGAGGUAGGCGGAAUGUGACAAGUAGCGGUGAAAUGCAUAGAUAUGUCACAGAACACCGAUUGCGAAGGCAGCUUACUAUGGUGUCAAUGACGCUGAGGCACGAAAGCGUGGGGAUCAAACAG